This 340-nucleotide ribosomal RNA is filed under the name Drosophila pseudoananassae. RNAcentral's name for it is "eukaryotic LSU rRNA". Lineage: Eukaryota; Metazoa; Arthropoda; Insecta; Diptera; Drosophilidae. The record is from RNAcentral.
GCCCGAUGAACCUGAAUAUCCAUUAUGGAAAAUUCAUCAUUAGAGUUAUAAUAUUUUAACAAUAUUAUACAAAUAAUGUGCAUUUUUUCCAUAUAAGGACAUUGUAAUCUAUUAACAUAUAAAAAUUUAUCAUAAAAUAUGGCUUAUAGUUUAUUCAAAUUAUUAUGCUUGCAUUUUAACACAGAAUAAAUGUCAUUAAUUUGAUAAAGUGUUGAUAGAUUAAUAAAAAUACAGUGCGUUAAUUUUUCGGAAUUAUAUAAUGGCAUAAUUAUCAAUGAUUUUUAUGUUUAUUAUAUGCAUUUGUAUGAUUAACAAUGCGAAAGAUUCAGGAUACUUCGGG